This 464-nucleotide ribosomal RNA is filed under the name uncultured bacterium. RNAcentral describes it as "partial 16S ribosomal RNA". It matches the Rfam family "Bacterial small subunit ribosomal RNA", at positions 28 to 507 of the family's 1533-position model. The record is from RNAcentral.
GACGAACGCUGGCGGCGUGCUUAACACAUGCAAGUCGAACGAUGAAGCCAGCUUGCUGGUGGAUUAGUGGCGAACGGGUGAGUAACACGUGGGUGAUCUGCCCCAAACUUUGGGAUAAGCCUGGGAAACUGGGUUUAAUACCGAAUAUGACCGAUAAUCGCAUGGGUGAUGGUGGUAAGCUCCGGCGGUUUGGGAUGGGCCCGCGGCCUAUCAGCUGGUUGGUGGGGUAAUGGCCUACCAAGGCGACGACGGGUAGCCGGCCUGAGAGGGCGACCGGCCACACUGGGACUGAGACACGGCCCAGACUCCUACGGGAGGCAGCAGUGGGGAAUAUUGCACAAUGGGCGCAAGCCUGAUGCAGCGACGCCGCGUGAGGGAUGACGGCCUUCGGGUUGUAAACCUCUUUCACCAGGGACGAAGCGAAAGUGACGGUACCUGGAGAAGAAGCACCGGCCAACUACGUG